RNAcentral lists this long non-coding RNA (237 nucleotides) under Homo sapiens (human). Its description in RNAcentral is "non-protein coding lnc-PTPRN2-3:1". Lineage: Eukaryota; Metazoa; Chordata; Mammalia; Primates; Hominidae. The record is from RNAcentral.
GAGUGUAGGAUGACUGUGUGAGCCCGGGAGCUUGAGGCUGCAGUGUGUUAAAUUGAUUAGGUGUCCAUGCUAAAUUCAGCAUCAAUAUGGUGACCUCUGGAAGCUGGGGGCCACCAGGUUGCCCAAGGUGGGGUGAACGAGCCCAUGUCAGCGGGGAACAGGAGCAGGUUAAGAGCUUCUGUGCUGACCAUGGCCAGUGCCCUCCAGCCUGGGCAACAUCACCAGACCCAUCUCUAA